Molecule: ribosomal RNA, 556 nt
Filed under: Bradyrhizobium sp.
Lineage: Bacteria; Pseudomonadati; Pseudomonadota; Alphaproteobacteria; Hyphomicrobiales; Nitrobacteraceae
Description: bacterial SSU rRNA
Rfam family: Bacterial small subunit ribosomal RNA
Source: RNAcentral
GGAACAACACAGGGAAACUUGUGCUAAUACCGGAUAAGCCCUUACGGGGAAAGAUUUAUCGCCGAAAGAUCGGCCCGCGUCUGAUUAGCUAGUUGGUGAGGUAAUGGCUCACCAAGGCGACGAUCAGUAGCUGGUCUGAGAGGAUGAUCAGCCACAUUGGGACUGAGACACGGCCCAAACUCCUACGGGAGGCAGCAGUGGGGAAUAUUGGACAAUGGGGGCAACCCUGAUCCAGCCAUGCCGCGUGAGUGAUGAAGGCCCUAGGGUUGUAAAGCUCUUUUGUGCGGGAAGAUAAUGACGGUACCGCAAGAAUAAGCCCCGGCUAACUUCGUGCCAGCAGCCGCGGUAAUACGAAGGGGGCUAGCGUUGCUCGGAAUCACUGGGCGUAAAGGGUGCGUAGGCGGGUCUUUAAGUCAGGGGUGAAAUCCUGGAGCUCAACUCCAGAACUGCCUUUGAUACUGAAGAUCUUGAGUUCGGGAGAGGUGAGUGGAACUGCGAGUGUAGAGGUGAAAUUCGUAGAUAUUCGCAAGAACACCAGUGGCGAAGGCGGCUCACU